CCUACGGGAGGCAGCAGUGAGGAAUAUUUGUCAAUGGGCGGAAGCCUGAACCAGCCAAGUCGCGUGAGGGAUUAAGGCCCUGCGGGUCGUAAACCUCUGUUGUCUGGGAGCAGAGUUCCGGGCGUGUCCGACCCGGGGGAGUACCCGGAGACAAAGCAUCGGCUAACCCCGUGCCAGCAGCGUCGGUAAUACGGAUGGUGCGCGCGUUAUCCGGAUUUAUUGGGUUAAAGGGGUGCGUAGGCGGGCAUUUAAGCCGGCGUUAAAAUGUCGGGGCUAAACCGCGGACUGCCGAGGGAACUGGGUGCCUUGAGUGGGCGAGAAGUAUGCGGAAUGCGUGGUGUAGCGGUGAAAUGCAUAGAUAUCACGCAGAACCCCGAUUGCGAAGGCAGCAUACCGGCGCCCUACUGACGCUGAGGCACGAAAGUGAGGGUAUCGAACAGGAUUAGAUACCCGAGUAGUC
RNAcentral lists this ribosomal RNA (460 nucleotides) under uncultured bacterium. RNAcentral describes it as "partial 16S ribosomal RNA". It matches the Rfam family "Bacterial small subunit ribosomal RNA", at positions 338 to 795 of the family's 1533-position model. The record is from RNAcentral.